This 470-nucleotide ribosomal RNA is filed under the name uncultured Pseudomonadota bacterium. RNAcentral describes it as "bacterial SSU rRNA". It matches the Rfam family "Bacterial small subunit ribosomal RNA", at positions 355 to 816 of the family's 1533-position model. The record is from RNAcentral. Lineage: Bacteria; Pseudomonadati; Pseudomonadota.
UGGGGAAUAUUGCUCAAUGGGCGAAAGCCUGAAGCAGCAACGCCGCGUGGGGGAUGAAGGUUUUCGGAUUGUAAACCCCUUUCGACCGUAACGAAUCUCCUCCUGGUAAAUAAUCAGGAGGAUCGACGGUACCGGGAGAAGAAGCCACGGCUAAUUCUGUGCCAGCAGCCGCGGUAAGACAGAGGUGGCUAGCGUUGUUCGGAUUUACUGGGCGUAAAGCGCACGCAGGCGGUUUGGUAAGUCAGAGGUGAAAUUCCGCAGCUUAACUGCGGAACUGCCUUUGAUACUGCCUUUCUCGAGUGCAUGAGGGGGAAGCGGAAUUCCGAGUGUAGAGGUGAAAUUCGUAGAUAUUCGGAGGAACACCGGUGGCGAAGGCGGCUUCCUGGCAUGUAACUGACGCUCAUGUGCGAAAGCGUGGGGAGCAAACAGGAUUAGAUACCCUGGUAGUCCACGCCCUAAACGAUGGGCAC